UUUCAUGUGCCCAUUAAUUCCUGUUGGUCUAUAUCGCCCAAAAUUGCGCAGAAAAAUAGACAACAUUGACUAGAGGAAUUAUUUUUUAAAGAACCGGGUAACCCAGUCUAGAAAACCUAGAUUUUCAAUUGAGCUAGGCCAUGCAUAUUGUAAUUGUUACCAAAUCUCUUUGAUCGCAGGGCAAUCCCUAAAAGCAUGCUCUAAAGUCUCCGUUGAAUUUGCACAUUUAGGACAAACAGUUUCAUUUGAUAAUCGCUUGUAAUAUAAAUUACAUAGAGUAGGGAUAUAAUUCUUCGAGCAUCUUUAGAAUGUAAUUUUCAAUUUGGUG
RNAcentral lists this long non-coding RNA (328 nucleotides) under Gossypium raimondii (Peruvian cotton). Its description in RNAcentral is "long non-coding RNA (GRAI_LNC005354)". Lineage: Eukaryota; Viridiplantae; Streptophyta; Magnoliopsida; Malvales; Malvaceae. The record is from RNAcentral.